AUGCAUACAGUAUGCCUACUAGCCGCCGAUGUGUGCGUGAGCCUGAGCGCGUGCAGUCUGCGUGCGCGCCGCCGACGCCGACGGCGACGCCGGCGAGUUGGGUGCCGGAGUCAUUGUCAGAAGAGGGGGGCAAGGACGGGAGUGAGCCAGGUAGGUCAUACCUGCUUAUGCCUCCAAGUGAGCGACGAACGGCGGCAUCCAACGCGGCGGCAGAUGCUGGGGACGGCAGCAGAAGCUUGGCUAGGCAGUAGGCACCAUGUCAGCGAGGAACGGCGGCGUCCAACACGGCGACGAAAGGGCAUGUUCGUCGUCGGUCCGGAGAGAGAGCCCUCCAGUAUCGGGCGCGGCGAGGACGACGCCACAUCGGGCGCGACAACGAGAAGGACGGCUUCAGGUGGUGGCGAGAGCGGCGGCGCGGCGCGGCAGAAACCCUAG
This 435-nucleotide ribosomal RNA is filed under the name Triticum aestivum (bread wheat). Its description in RNAcentral is "partial small subunit ribosomal RNA". Lineage: Eukaryota; Viridiplantae; Streptophyta; Magnoliopsida; Poales; Poaceae. The record is from RNAcentral.